UGCGGAAGGAUCAUUGCCGUCGCCUUUGGAGAACACGACCGGUGCACAAGUGACUCUAAGCUGUCGGGGAGGCGCUGCCUCCUCGGCCCCACCGGCCACGGACGUGUCUGCCCUUCGGGGCGUGUCGGGCGUGGUUUCGGAAUACGGCGCGGGAUGUCGCCAAGGAACACACAUUUGCCGAGCGGACCGCGAGGCUUCGGCGUCAGGCGGUCCGUGGAGGCCAAGGUAACACGAUGAGACGACUCCCGGCAACGGAUAUCUCGGCUCUCGCAUCGAUGAAGAACGUAGCGAAAUGCGAUACAUGGUGUGAAUUGCAGAAUCCCGUGAACCAUCGAGUCUUUGAACGCAAGUUGCGCCCGAGGGACCAUCCCGAGGGCACGCCUGCCUCUUGGGCGUUAGAAGCCCAUCCACGCUCGGUGCAAGCGCUCUGCGGUGCACCGGUGCGGACACUGGCCCUUCGAGCCGUGAGGCACGACGGGCACAAGCGUACGGCAGUCGGUUGAGGCCGGGAGCGGCGAGUGGUGGGCUAACUGCGCACGCUGCCUCCGGACCACAUGCCGGCAGAGGGCCCGGUUUGACCCCAGAAGGACGAGCCUGCCGUCACGUGCGGCAGCUUCGGACCCAUACCCCAGGUCAGGCGGGACUAC
This 647-nucleotide ribosomal RNA is filed under the name Eleocharis interstincta. Its description in RNAcentral is "eukaryotic LSU rRNA". The stretch from base 241 to 395 matches the Rfam family "5.8S ribosomal RNA". Lineage: Eukaryota; Viridiplantae; Streptophyta; Magnoliopsida; Poales; Cyperaceae. The record is from RNAcentral.